This 395-nucleotide unclassified non-coding RNA is filed under the name soil metagenome. RNAcentral's name for it is "partial contains 5.8S ribosomal RNA, internal transcribed spacer 2, and large subunit ribosomal RNA". The stretch from base 1 to 120 matches the Rfam family "5.8S ribosomal RNA", at positions 35 to 154 of the family's 154-position model. The record is from RNAcentral.
GAUGAAGAACGUAGCGAAAUGCGAUAAGUAAUGUGAAUUGCAGAAUUCAGUGAAUCAUCGAAUCUUUGAACGCACCUUGCGCCUUUUGGUAUUCCGAAAGGCACACCUGUUUGAGCGUCAUGAAUACCUCAAUCUCCAUCUUUUCUUCGGAUUGAUGGGUGACUUGGAUGUUGAGCCCUGCUGGUAUGCUAUAUCAGCUGGCUUUAAACUUAUUAGCCGGCUCUGUACUGGAUCGGUUUGACUCGACGUGAUAAUAUUAUCGUUGAUGAUGCAUGUCUCAUGCAGCCGGAAAGUAUCAUAGCAGCUUCUAGCUUGCCUUUAGUGCACUUUUACAUGUUAGACCUCAGAUCAGGUGGGACUACCCGCUGAACUUAAGCAUAUCAAUAAGCGGAGGA